RNAcentral lists this ribosomal RNA (253 nucleotides) under uncultured bacterium. RNAcentral's name for it is "partial 16S ribosomal RNA". It matches the Rfam family "Bacterial small subunit ribosomal RNA", at positions 524 to 776 of the family's 1533-position model. The record is from RNAcentral.
UACGAAGGGUGCAAGCGUUAUUCGGAAUCACUGGGCGUAAAGGGUGCGUAGACGGUUUGUUAAGUUUGUCGUUAAAGACUCUAGCCUAACUGGAGGGUUGCGAUGAAAACUGGCGGACUAGAGGGUGAGAGAGAGAAGUGGAAUUCCUGGAGUAGCGGUAAAAUGCGUGGAUCUCAGGAGGAACACCAAUGGCGAAGGCAGCUUCUUGGCUCAUUCCUGACGUUGAGGCACGAAAGCGUGGGGAGCAAACAGG